GACGAACGCUGGCGGCGUGCUUAACACAUGCAAGUCGAACGGAAAGGCCUUUUCGGAGGUACUCGAGUGGCGCACGGGUGAGUAACACGUGGGUGAUCUGCCCUGCACUCUGGGAUAAGCCUGGGAAACUGGGUCUAAUACCGGAUAGGACCGCACUUUAGUGUGUGUGGUGGAAAGUUUUUUCGGUGUAGGAUGAGCCCGCGGCCUAUCAGCUUGUUGGUGGGGUAAUGGCCUACCAAGGCGGCGACGGGUAGCCGGACUGAGAGGUUGGUCGGCCACAUUGGGACUGAGAUACGGCCCAGACUCCUACGGGAGGCAGCAGUGGGGAAUAUUGCACAAUGGGCGCAAGCCGGAUGCAGCGACGCCGCGUGGGGGAUGACGGCCUUCGGGUUGUAAACUCCUUUCGCCAGGGACGAAGCGUUUUGUGACGGUACCUGGAGAAGAAGCACCGGCUAACUACGUG
RNAcentral lists this ribosomal RNA (463 nucleotides) under uncultured bacterium. Its description in RNAcentral is "partial 16S ribosomal RNA". It matches the Rfam family "Bacterial small subunit ribosomal RNA", at positions 28 to 507 of the family's 1533-position model. The record is from RNAcentral.